GAUGAAGAACGUAGCAAAAUGCGAUAAGUAAUGUGAAUCGCAGAAUUCAGUGAAUCAUCGAAUCUUUGAACGCACAUUGCGCCCGCUGGUAUUCCGGCGGGCAUGCCUGUUCGAGCGUCAUUUCAACCCUCAAGCCCCCGGGUUUGGUGUUGGGGAUCGGCUCUGCCCUUCUGGGCGGUGCCGCCCCCGAAAUACAUUGGCGGUCUCGCUGCAGCCUCCAUUGCGUAGUAGCUAACACCUCGCAACUGGAACGCGGCGCGGCCAUGCCGUAAAACCCCAACUUCUGAAUGUUGACCUCGGAUCAGGUAGGAAUACCCGCUGAACUUAAGCAUAUCAAUAAGCGGAGGA
RNAcentral lists this unclassified non-coding RNA (348 nucleotides) under soil metagenome. RNAcentral describes it as "partial contains 5.8S ribosomal RNA, internal transcribed spacer 2, and large subunit ribosomal RNA". The stretch from base 1 to 120 matches the Rfam family "5.8S ribosomal RNA", at positions 35 to 154 of the family's 154-position model. The record is from RNAcentral.